GCCCUUUUGUUUAUUGAUGUGUUGCUGCUCAUAAAAUAUAUUAUGCUGAGCUCGGGUUACAAACAAAGUCUGUCAUUACUCUGAUGUAUAACCUAUACCUAGUAAAAUAAUAUCUGUCCUAAUUUAUUAUAUGAACUAAAACUUAAUCUAGUUUGUAGUUACAUAUCAUUUUGAUAAUAAUCAAACCAUUGCAUAAGCCAGAU
Molecule: long non-coding RNA, 203 nt
Filed under: Elaeis guineensis (African oil palm)
Lineage: Eukaryota; Viridiplantae; Streptophyta; Magnoliopsida; Arecales; Arecaceae
Description: long non-coding RNA (EGUI_LNC022408)
Source: RNAcentral